GGAAGGGCCCUCUUUUUCCCCUCCGCUCCUGCUCCAGUGACAAGAUGUGAUCCACUGACAAGGAGGUAUGCCAAUAACGUGUCCGGUUAACUUCUUGAGAAAUAAUGUGCAUGGCUAACAAAAGUGUCAUUUAAAAUAAUUAAGAAAAUUUUGUGUGGGCCUACUGCAAGAAAUAAAUAACUUUAAAGAGUAAAAAAAAAUAAGAAAGAAAGAACAAAAAGACAACUUGAUAAUGAGAUAAUAAUACACACUGUGUGAAAGCCAGUUAAUUGAAGGUUUGUCAUGACCAGUGAGUGCUAUUUGUAAAUCUUCUUGAGGAAAUAAUAGCCUGCUAAAAGAAGAGAAAUAAUCAAGGGGAAGAGACUGCAGAGAAGAACAAAUUAGCAUACUUUUGAUCUAUGCAUUGUCAAAACAUAAUGGUCCUUCUUAGCUCAUAACGGAAGGGAGCCUAUGUAAGUGGACAGGUUAAUUUAAUAAAAGUAUCACUCCAAAUUUCUAUAUAUUUCCUAGUUAAGCUUUGCCUGUGUGCAUCAGGUCAUUUUCCCUUCUUGACAGUUGCUAAGACUUUCAGUUUUGAAGCUGCAUUCAUUGAGAGAGGCCUCAUAUUCACAGGACUAUGAAUUCCAAAGUGGAGAUUUUCCAGUAAUGCAUGCCAUAGUGAAAAAGAGCUGGAGCAGCUAGUGAGUUAGUUUCUAUGAACUUAUGCUGAUUUCUUUGCAUAAAUAUCAAACAUUGUGAAAAAGCAAAUAAAAAAAAAGAAAGUAAGUAAGCAUUACUUGUCAUAGGAAUUAUGUCUCCUAUAUUGUGGAAAUGUAAGAGUACUGUCCAUUUCAUUUCUUCCAGAAAGGUUUGUGAGUUCCCUGUUAGAAUGUGUGUGUGUGUGUGUGUGUGUGUGUGUGUGUGUGUGUGUGUUAUCUGUCUCAUAUAUUAUAGGCCAGUAAUGGAACAGAUUGCAGAGAUUUUUUUAAAUAGUAUCCUCAAAUCUUUGACUACAUUUUUAUUUGUUCUAGAAUACAAUUACAAAUAGUCAUACUUCAGAUGGUGAAGUGACUUGUUUCAAGGAAAACAAGAAUACUACAACAAACAUCAGAUGACUCCAGCUUCCUGGAAACUGACAUCAUAAAAUGCUGUGUUUAGACUCCAUUUGCAAUAAUGUAGGACAAUGGCUGUGAUCCUGGCAAAUCAGAGUUUGCUCAGAAACAAACCCAAAGCUAAGAAGACAUGUCUACCCUUUCACUUUGGGAUCAUUUCUUAGCUUCAAGUUCCAAGAACAUCCUUUGUAUGUCUUUGUCUCUUAUCGAAGGAUGAUUGGAAACCAGUUGUGGGAAAUAUUUUCGGUUUAAUAUCACUAAGAAUUGUUUAGGUGUCAAAUUUUUAUUAAUUCAAAGAUCUGAAAUAUAAGAACUGACUCAAAUCUGA
RNAcentral lists this long non-coding RNA (1419 nucleotides) under Cricetulus griseus (Chinese hamster). RNAcentral's name for it is "lncRNA (ENSCGRG00015030547.1)". The record is from RNAcentral. Lineage: Eukaryota; Metazoa; Chordata; Mammalia; Rodentia; Cricetidae.